Molecule: ribosomal RNA, 453 nt
Filed under: uncultured Bacteroides sp.
Lineage: Bacteria; Pseudomonadati; Bacteroidota; Bacteroidia; Bacteroidales; Bacteroidaceae
Description: partial 16S ribosomal RNA
Rfam family: Bacterial small subunit ribosomal RNA
Source: RNAcentral
ACGGAAGGCAGCAGUGAGGAAUAUUGGUCAAUGGGCGGAAGCCUGAACUAGCCAAGUCGCGUGAAGGAUGAAGGUAUUAUGUAUUGUAAACUUCUUUAGACGCAGAGAAAUAAGGAGGUCGUGACCUCUGAUGCUAGUAUGCGUAGAAUAAGGAUCGGCUAACUCCGUGCCAGCAGCCGCGGUAAUACGGAGGAUCCGAGCGUUAUCCGGAUUUAUUGGGUUUAAAGGGUGCGCAGGCGGCCCUGUAAGUCAGCGGUUAAAUCGUGGAGCUCAACUCCAUCCCGCUGUUGAUACUGCAGGGCUUGAUUGCGGUCGAGGUUGGCGGAAUUCGCCGUGUAGCGGUGAAAUGCAUAGAUAUGGCGAAGAACUCCGAUUGCGUAGGCAGCUGACCAGGCCGUAAAUGACGCUCAUGCACGAAAGUGCGGGGAUCGAACAGGAUUAGAUACCCUGGUA